Molecule: ribosomal RNA, 491 nt
Filed under: uncultured bacterium
Lineage: Bacteria
Description: partial 16S ribosomal RNA
Rfam family: Bacterial small subunit ribosomal RNA
Source: RNAcentral
AGUGAAUGCUGGCGGUAGGCCUAACACAUGCAAGUCGAACGGCAGCACAGUAAGAGCUUGCUCUUACGGGUGGCGAGUGGCGGACGGGUGAGGAAUACAUCGGAAUCUACUUUUUCGUGGGGGAUAACGUAGGGAAACUUACGCUAAUACCGCAUACGACCUACGGGUGAAAGCAGGGGAUCUUCGGACCUUGCGCGAUUGAAUGAGCCGAUGUCGGAUUAGCUAGUUGGCGGGGUAAAGGCCCACCAAGGCGACGACCGUAGCUGGUCUGAGAGGAUGAUCAGCCACACUGGAACUGAGACACGGUCCAGACUCCUACGGGAGGCAGCAGUGGGGAAUAUUGGACAAUGGGCGCAAGCCUGAUCCAGCCAUACCGCGUGGGUGAAGAAGGCCUUCGGGUUGUAAAGCCCUUUUGUUGGGAAAGAAAAGCAGCAGGUUAAUACCCCGCUGUUCUGACGGUACCCAAAGAAUAAGCACCGGCUAACUUCGUG